CCUACGGGUGGCAGCAGUGGGGAAUAUUGCACAAUGGGGGAAACCCUGAUGCAGCAACGCCGCGUGAGUGAGGAAGUAUCUCGGUAUGUAAAGCUCUGUCAGCAGGGAAGAAAAAGACGGUACCUGUCCAUGAAGCCCCGGCUAACUACGCGCCAGCAGCCGCGGUAAUAUGCAGGGGGCAAGCGUUAUCCGGAUUUACUGGGUGUAAAGGGAGCGUAGACGGUGAGGCAAGUCUGGAGUGAAAGGCGGGGGCUCAACCCCCGGACUGCUCUGGAAACUGGCGGGCUGGAGUGCAGGAGAGGUAAGUGGAAUUCCUAGUGUAGCGGUGAAAUGCGUAGAUAUUAGGAGGAACACCAGUGGCGAAGGCGGCUUACUGGACUGUAACUGACGUUGAGGCUCGAAAGCGUGGGGAGCAAACAGGAUUAGAUACCCGAGUAGUC
RNAcentral lists this ribosomal RNA (440 nucleotides) under uncultured bacterium. RNAcentral's name for it is "partial 16S ribosomal RNA". It matches the Rfam family "Bacterial small subunit ribosomal RNA", at positions 338 to 795 of the family's 1533-position model. The record is from RNAcentral.